This 1510-nucleotide unclassified non-coding RNA is filed under the name Bombus terrestris (buff-tailed bumblebee). Its description in RNAcentral is "misc RNA ENSBTSG00005029184.1". The record is from RNAcentral. Lineage: Eukaryota; Metazoa; Arthropoda; Insecta; Hymenoptera; Apidae.
UCUCAAUACCCUUUCUUCAAUAUUUUUCAAUAUAUCUACAAUGUAUUUACUGUAUCAUUCUUUUCGAUCUCAUGACAAUAUCGAUGCGAUUCGACUAAUCGUGACUGACAUCAUAUGUCGAUAACAACGUCACAUAGUGCAUACAAUGCGGCGUUGCGAUCAAUUAAAGUAGCACCAAAAAGAAAACGCGAGUAAUGAGCCAAUUCGAUGAAAGUGCAAAGUUGUGUCAUUAAAUCGAGGAAAACUAUGCCUUGGAGAUUAACGCUAGCCAUGGAUUAUGGAUUCGUCACGCAGUCAACGAGGAACGUCGUGGCGGCGUGACGUAACGACGGCCGGACAACCUCUCACAAAGACCCGCGACAAAAGGGGAGAAGGCCAGAACCGAAGAAGAUACGGAUCCUGGCCCGUGUCCACCACUUUUUCCAAUUCCUUGUCUAACCGGAGAACGAGAGAAACUAGAGACGCUCCUUCCUUGCGAGAUCCGCGAAACAGAUUCGAAACUAGACCAUGUCGAGGAAGAUGAUUUUUUGCAGCACAUGAGUCAGAGGACGAUGCGAAUCGAGAGCGACUGUUGUUGCUUUGCCUCGGGACAUUGACACCGUCUUGACGUACAAAACGUAACGAUAAAUAAACUCCGGGCAAAACAAUGUCGCCGCUACGUACAACCAACCGAAGUUGAAUUUAAGCUUUUCGGUACUCCCUCGACCAGUAUAAAUAAACGAACACGAUCGUUGAAACGAUCAAUGAGUAUCGAGCAUUCUUAUAACGAAUUAAUAUCGAGCAAUCUUAUAGCGAUUAAUAUCGAGCGAACGUACUCAUUACCGUGUGUACGUAUAUCGAGCAACACUGAGCGAACGACGACUAACUCUGUACUGCAAAUAGUUUUAAAUACAUUUGACUAUACAAAGUAUUGACUCGUAUCGACACUAUAUACACCAACACGUUUAAUCGUACAUCCACGAAUUUAUGGUGAUAGAUAGAAGGAAAGUAGCUCCUUAUAAGAAAGCGAAAUCGCGUAAAGUAUUAAUUAGGUUACGUACCAUCCACGAUGUAGUCUUUUCUCCUUCUGUUUAAUACAUUCUGCCAUCAAUUAUGGGAUGAAUUGUAAUUCUAUCAUCUAUAAUUUGCUUUAUCGUGCCAUUAUUGUCCAUCUGUUUUGUAAGGUGAUGAUAGAUACUUGUAAUAAUUUUACAUGAUUUGUGGUUAUAUGUGCAUAAAUUGUAUUUCCAAGAUGACGACAGCGUCAUCUAUUUGGCGAUUUAUUCGCGCGUAAGAAGUCAAACGUUCGUUUAAAAUCCACUGUCGAUAAAAUCGAUCCAGUUGGGCCUUUAUAAAUCUUGUUGAAUUCGUUACAGACAGUCCGUUUCACGGAAGAACACCUUUUCACGUGUGGUUUGAGAAACACAAAAAAGUUGAUCGAGUCACACGAAGAAACGACUUUUAAACGGCUCGUUUACCAUAAUACAAACUGCUCGAGAGAAUCAGUCGCCCUGAAAUCUUACGAAACGGC